Molecule: non-coding RNA, 385 nt
Organism: Paracoccus solventivorans
Lineage: Bacteria; Pseudomonadati; Pseudomonadota; Alphaproteobacteria; Rhodobacterales; Paracoccaceae
Source: Rfam
GCGGAUGGCCGGAUGACCGCGGGCGGUGGUUUCGCCGUUCGAGGAAAGUCCGGGCUCCAUGCAGGCAUGGUGCCGGGUAACGCCCGGCGGGGGCAACCCCAGGGAAAGCGCCACAGAGAACAGACCGCCCCGCCUUGUGCAGGGCAAGGGUGAAACGGUGGGGUAAAGGCCCACCGCGGGACGGGCAACCGGACCGGCACGGCAAGCCCCACCAGGAGCAAUGCCGAAUAGGGAUCGCGCGCGGGGGCAACCCCGCAGGGCCGCCUGCGCCCCAGCAGAUCCGGGUUGGCAGCUAGAUCCCGCCGGCAACGGCGGGGCCAGAGGAAUGGUCAUCCACGGGGCGCAAGCCCCCGGACAGAACCCGGCUUACAGGCCAUCCGCGCGU